This 253-nucleotide ribosomal RNA is filed under the name uncultured bacterium. RNAcentral's name for it is "partial 16S ribosomal RNA". It matches the Rfam family "Bacterial small subunit ribosomal RNA", at positions 524 to 776 of the family's 1533-position model. The record is from RNAcentral.
UACGAAGGGGGCUAGCGUUGCUCGGAAUUACUGGGCGUAAAGCGCGCGUAGGCGGAUCGUUAAGUCGGGGGUGAAAUCCUGGAGCUCAACUCCAGAACUGCCUUUGAUACUGGCGAUCUUGAGUCCGGGAGAGGUGAGUGGAACUCCGAGUGUAGAGGUGAAAUUCGUAGAUAUUCGGAAGAACACCAGUGGCGAAGGCGGCUCACUGGACCGGCAUUGACGCUGAUGUGCGAAAGCGUGGGGAGCAAACAGG